AUGUUCUUCGACCCAACAAACACUCUUCAGUUGGAAGCGAUAACGGUGUGGUUCCAGGAGGCUGAAGAAAGAAUUAAACAACUUCCAAACCCAACAAACUGGCCAGACUUCAACGUGGCCUCGUGGAACAAGAAGACAAUCAAAGGGCUGCCAACCCAGAAAGACGGGAGCUCUUGUGGACUCUACCUUCUCAAGUACAUAAUGCUUUGGACGGGAUCCAAACUAUCCAAAACAUUUUCAAAGAAAGAUAUAGAUAUGUAUAGGAGACAACUUGCACAUGACAUACUCAACAGUGACAGAAAUUCACUCCGAAAAAACCAGCAGCCAGACCAGACAAAGGCAAUUUCUGAAGAUGGAGUUUCUACCAAAAAAAGAAAGAGGUCCAGGACGAGCACCAGGAAUAUAUCUACACAGUAG
RNAcentral lists this ribosomal RNA (417 nucleotides) under Triticum aestivum (bread wheat). RNAcentral's name for it is "partial small subunit ribosomal RNA". The record is from RNAcentral. Lineage: Eukaryota; Viridiplantae; Streptophyta; Magnoliopsida; Poales; Poaceae.